RNAcentral lists this ribosomal RNA (426 nucleotides) under uncultured bacterium. RNAcentral's name for it is "bacterial SSU rRNA". It matches the Rfam family "Bacterial small subunit ribosomal RNA", at positions 356 to 774 of the family's 1533-position model. The record is from RNAcentral.
UGGGAAUUUUGGACAAUGGACGCAAGUCUGAUCCAGCCAUGCCGCGUGCGGGAAGAAGGCCUUCGGGUUGUAAACCGCUUUUGUCAGGGAAGAAACGAGUUUCUCUAAUACAGAGACUUAAUGACGGUACCUGAAGAAUAAGCACCGGCUAACUACGUGCCAGCAGCCGCGGUAAUACGUAGGGUGCAAGCGUUAACCGGAAUUACUGGGCGUAAAGCGUGCGCAGGCGGUUAUGCAAGACAGAGGUGAAAUCCCCGGGCUCAACCUGGGAACUGCCUUUGUGACUGCAUAGCUAGAGUACGGUAGAGGGGGAUGGAAUUCCGCGUGUAGCAGUGAAAUGCGUAGAUAUGCGGAGGAACACCGAUGGCGAAGGCAAUCCCCUGGACCUGUACUGACGCUCAUGCACGAAAGCGUGGGGAGCAAACA